RNAcentral lists this ribosomal RNA (421 nucleotides) under uncultured bacterium. Its description in RNAcentral is "bacterial SSU rRNA". It matches the Rfam family "Bacterial small subunit ribosomal RNA", at positions 355 to 774 of the family's 1533-position model. The record is from RNAcentral.
UAAGGAAUAUUGGUCAAUGGACGCAAGUCUGAACCAGCCAUGCCGCGUGAAGGAUGAAGGUCCUCUGGAUUGUAAACUUCUUUUAUCUGGGACGAAAACAGGAUUUUUGUCUCAAUUGACGGUACCAGAGGAAUAAGCACCGGCUAACUCCGUGCCAGCAGCCGCGGUAAUACGGAGGGUGCGAGCGUUGUUCGGAAUUACUGGGCGUAAAGCGCGUGCAGGCGGUCUCUUAAGUCUGGUGUGAAAGCCCGGGGCUCACCCCCGGAAGGGCACUGGAGACUGGGAGGCUAGAGUACCGGAGAGGAAGGUGGAAUUCCUGGUGUAGCGGUGAAAUGCGUAGAUAUCAGGAGGAACACCGGUGGCGAAGGCGGCCUUCUGGACGGCUACUGACGCUGAGACGCGAAAGCGUGGGGAGCAAACA